GUAACACCCGAAGUCGGUGAGGUAACCUUUUUGGAGCCAGCCGCCUAAGGUGGGAUAGAUGAUUGGGGUGAAGUCGUAACAAGGUAGCCGUAUCGGAAGGUGCGGCUGGAUCACCUCCUUUCUAAGGAA
Molecule: ribosomal RNA, 129 nt
Filed under: Enterococcus faecalis
Lineage: Bacteria; Bacillati; Bacillota; Bacilli; Lactobacillales; Enterococcaceae
Description: partial 16S ribosomal RNA
Rfam family: Bacterial small subunit ribosomal RNA
Source: RNAcentral